RNAcentral lists this ribosomal RNA (449 nucleotides) under Hyphopichia burtonii. RNAcentral describes it as "eukaryotic LSU rRNA". The stretch from base 132 to 285 matches the Rfam family "5.8S ribosomal RNA". The record is from RNAcentral. Lineage: Eukaryota; Fungi; Ascomycota; Pichiomycetes; Serinales; Debaryomycetaceae.
UAAAAGUCGUAACAAGGUUUCCGUAGGUGAACCUGCGGAAGGAUCAUUAAAAAUUUAAUUGUUUACACGUUUACGUUUAACAUAUACAACUAACCAACUUAAUUAUGUCAACAACAACAACCAAAAAUCAAAACUUUCAACAACGGAUCUCUUGGUUCUCGCAUCGAUGAAGAACGCAGCGAAAUGCGAUAAGUAAUAUGAAUUGCAGAUUUUCGUGAAUCAUCGAAUCUUUGAACGCACAUUGCACCUUGUGGUAUUCCACAAGGUAUGCCUGUUUGAGCGUCAUUUCUCCCUCAACCCCCGCGGGUUGGCGUUGAAUGGCACGAGCUCUUAGUCAGUCCAUUCGAAAAGUAUUUUUCUUGUGUUGUUAUUUUCUAAUUUAGUAGUGACAACCACACUAAAAACACAUUUUCCUCAAAUCAGGUAGGACUACCCGCUGAACUUAAGCA